Long non-coding RNA from Neofelis nebulosa (Clouded leopard), 1992 nucleotides. RefSeq lists it as uncharacterized. The record is from RefSeq and is a predicted model, not a curated record. NCBI's taxonomy places the organism in Eukaryota, Metazoa, Chordata, Mammalia, Carnivora, Felidae. The transcript has 3 exons.
CUUUUUCAAGCUUGGCAGAAAUCCUUCACAGAAGUAAUGACCUGAACUUGCAGAAGAGGGAGCUAAAGCUCGGAGAAGUUAAACAAACUCAAGAGAAUGUUACCAGUGGUGGAAGCGGGAUCCCAGCCCAGAUCUGUGCAGCCUGUAGCCGUGGAAAUUUAGAUCUUGUUGAAUGAAUGUCUGCUGGUUCCAGUUCCUCGUGCCUGAUGUCCAAACCCAUGAAUCUACCUACCUACCACCCCCACCAGCCUGCCACCUGUUGGGCACCUAGUGAUGCCUCGCCUCUGCAUUCAAGGAACCAGAGUUGGUGCUUUGCUGAUGAAGAUGCUUUACUCUGCUGACACUCCCCUUCUCCAAACCAUGGCAGGAAGAUGUGCAUUUUCGUCUUGAAGAUAUUCUAAGCCAAGAAGGCAAGUCUCCUAUAUUUCUUCAGAUGCUUUUAUUAAGUGAAACAUUUUCUGUUGUAUUUGAAGCCACUUGUUCUGCUUCAGUUUUCUCUAAACGCUGAGGAAUAUUGAUUAGGAUUUCUCUGAGAAACAUAUUUGUCCAUUUGUCAAUGGACUCUUGUGUGUGUGUUGUGGAUAAAGACUAGAGUAGCAACAAUAAUCAUCUUGUCAACACUCUGUCAUAGGGGUAAAUCAUGUUUCCCAACAGCAGUGCACACAAGAGGUCAGGGUGUGACUGACUCUGGCCUCUAUGCCUAUUCUUCAGACUCAUUUAGCCAACCCAACUCCACCUUGCAUUCAUAUUUCUGAGAUUUUUACUGUGAAGGACAUGUCCCCUGCACAUGCCCUUCACAAACGUUAUAGUGUACUUUCUAAUACUGUAAUUAUCAUUUUCCACAUUCAUGGAAACAUUGAUUUAUAUCUUUAAAGCAGUAGCACACCUAAUUCUUGGAUGUUUCUUCUGAAAAUGUAAGUUGGUUUUAUUAAUCGAUCUGCAAAUGUGUUUGGAGAUUCUGCUAUAUACAAGGCUUCAUGUUUUUGAAAUAACAAAAUAUUGAAAAAUGUUUGGGAAUAGCGAAAAAGUUGCGAUGUAAAAAUCCACUGUUUAAGGUCAAUGCUUGGAUGAUCUUGGGAAAGACAUGGUUAAAAAAUAAUGCCCAGGGCUACUUCUGUGGAGCUCUUUACCAGAGAUGGGAGGUUACAUACUGGUGUAACUCGAAGCUCCCCAGGGCACUGAGAAAGCAGAGGGUGUAUUUUCAGCUCUGUCUCCAAGCAGAAAAUUACUUUUCAUACCAGUAUUGGAUUAAGUGGCUUAUGGUGCCGUCCCUUUGGGACACUAAACCAUUAGUGAGAAAUAACACAUCAUUGGAAAGCAGGCAAAAUGUUUGUUUAGUGUGAUUAUCAGAAGCCUUUUAGGAUAGUUCUCAUGUGUUUGGAAGGAAUACUUUGAUAGGCCAGUGCCUCGGAAUCUUAAUGAGGGACAUGCUCGAGUACCAGCAGGUCACUAAUCUGCCUCUGGAGAGGCAGGUUUGGUCCCCCGGUGGAGGCAGGGAGGGGAUGGGGUUCAACCCGUGCCCAUUCUUCCCCAAGCAGCACUUAGCCUCCUCCCCUAGAAGAGCACUGGACAAAGACAAUACUCAUUUCAAGGAACUCCAGAUUCUCAGUGUGCCCCAUGUUAGACAUGUGCUGAGCACAGUGUCUGUUUCAUUGUCAGUGGUGUGUGGGUGAGGUGCUCCCCAGUGUCCAGAGAGGGCAGAACUGAGGAAGCUGUGUCCUCUGCAUGGUUCCGUCUCUACGAGGCUACACUGAGCCUGAGUGUGACACCUUACAUUUAUGUCUCUGGAAAAGUCCUGCAUUUGAAGUAAAUUUUCCUACCAAAGAAGUACUGUAAUAUUAAGGUAUUUAUUUGGCCAAUGGCAUCAUACCAAAUAAUUUUAGUAGACUUGCAAAUAAAUUACAUUCAUUUGCUCAAGGGUGUAAAGCCAUACCUCAAAUAGUCUUCAUAAACAAGGUUGUGUUAUUAAGGAAACAUGCCAGAACACUGUUU